CCUACGGGAGGCAGCAGUGAGGAAUAUUGGUCAAUGGGCGGAAGCCUGAACCAGCCAAGUAGCGUGCGGGAUGAAGGCCCUACGGGUCGUAAACCUCUUUUGCACGGGGAUAACACCCUCCUCUUGUGGAGGUCUGCAGGUACCGUGCGAAUAAGGGCCGGCUAAUUCCGUGCCAGCAGCCGCGGUAAUACGGAAGGCGCGAGCGUUAUCCGGAUUUAUUGGGGUUAAAGGGAGCGUAGGCGGGCGUUCAAGUCAGCUGUAAAAUCGCGCGGCUCAACCGCGCUCAGCAGUUGACACUGGAGGCCUUGAGUGAGCAACAGGCAGGCGGAAUGCGUGGUGUAGCGGUGAAAUGCAUAGAUAUCACGAGGAACCCCGAUUGCGAAGGCAGCCUGCCGGGGUGCGACUGACGCUGAGGCUCGAAGGUGCGGGUAUCAAACAGGAUUAGAUACCCUUGUAGUC
This 459-nucleotide ribosomal RNA is filed under the name uncultured bacterium. RNAcentral's name for it is "partial 16S ribosomal RNA". It matches the Rfam family "Bacterial small subunit ribosomal RNA", at positions 338 to 795 of the family's 1533-position model. The record is from RNAcentral.